GAUCAGUGAUGUAAAUAGCCAAAUCUGAGCCUCAGAAGAGCUCCCAGUCUGCCUGAUGCAUGAUCUCUGUAGUUCUGAGA
Molecule: small nucleolar RNA, 80 nt
Filed under: Bos indicus x Bos taurus (hybrid cattle)
Lineage: Eukaryota; Metazoa; Chordata; Mammalia; Artiodactyla; Bovidae
Description: Small nucleolar RNA U2-19 (ENSBIXG00005023278.1)
Rfam family: Small nucleolar RNA U2-19
About the family: U2-19 is a member of the C/D class of snoRNA which contain the C (UGAUGA) and D (CUGA) box motifs.
Source: RNAcentral